Molecule: non-coding RNA, 2760 nt
Organism: Physcomitrium patens
Lineage: Eukaryota; Viridiplantae; Streptophyta; Bryopsida; Funariales; Funariaceae
Source: RefSeq, a predicted model, not a curated record
UCUGAGGUUGAUGUGAGCUGAUCCAAAAUUUGCUGAGGGAAGACAAGCCGUUGAGGGGGGUUUGGCUGGCUGCCGGACUCUCUUAGUUUUCUUGUCCAUCUCACUUGUUCUCGAUUCCCAUCUUCGUUGUGCUUGACUCUUCCUCUCUGGUUCUACGGUGGUGUCGCCAGUUUGGUUUUUUCUCGCGCUUGCGGUUCCAGCGGUGGAGCUGUUGGUGGUUGCUCUUCCUGUUCUUGUGGUCUCUCGCGUUCUAAUUCCUGGUGUGGCGGUAGUGUCAAAUGCGGUGAAGCUGCUGCAUUUCUCUUGUUCAUCUUUUUUCAAUUUUUUAUUGUUGCAGGUCUGUGAUGGUUAUUGACGGAUCAGGCAUGGCAUUGACAAGGAUUUGGGCUUCUUAAGUAGCGAGCAAUUGAAGCCAAGUGCCUGUUUUCUAAGUUGCGUCUUGGUGAUGGUUCUACAAGUUCCUAGAUUCUGGUGGUGUUGAGGCUCAAUGACCAACUUGGUUCUGUUUAUCGACAUCAUGGCUACAUUGGUUGCCUAAUAAGUGUCUGUGCAACCCUUGUAUUAACUCAAGUGUAUUGAGCUCGAUGCCAUCUUCGGCUGCGGUGGAAACGUGAGCGGCGUUGAGGUCGGAGGUGCUCUAGCCCUUAUGAUCCUUGACUUGGUUGUUGUCUUGGUUUUCUUGAUCAAGACUAUUGCUGACGUCUUAGACAUUCUUUCGGGCCGCUGUUGUGAUUCUUGGUCCUCUCUCUCUUGGUAUGUAACGGCGGUUCUUCUUAUUGCGGUUAUCUUCUUCGGGGCCGUGGCGACGUUGCAACUGCUGUCAACGGUCGAGGUGCUAGUUGUUGCACUCUCUAGUAUUUGUUUUUUUUUUUUUUUUUUUUUUUUUCCCCCUCUUUGUGUUUCAGGGGGACUGGAGGGCCCGAGCUUGGUCCUUCUUCGACGCUUGCUGGCGACCCUGCGGUGAAGUUGCGACGCCGUCUUUUUCCGGCUUCCCUCUUGUUUUUGCAUCCUUUGAGCGUCGAAGCUUCCUCAUUCGGUUUUAGUGUUUUUUUCUACAUUGCUUGUCUUUUCUAAAUUGAUAAUCUUGCAGUUAUUAUUCUCCGGCGGUGGCUGAAACUGAUCGUCACAUCAUAUAGAGUUGUUCCCCUAGAAUCAAAAAAUUGUUAAAGUUUUUGAUAUUACCCAAUCGGCUUUAAGUCCUGGGGUGAUACUUCAGGGAAUGUUGGUCCCGACGAGGUUUGUAAUUGUUGGAUAUAGUCGUGCGUGCUUGACGUACUGAGUGUGGACGCUUGCCUUAAUCUAUCUUGUCAUCAACCUGCAAGUAAUCAUAGUGUUCCGGCUUGACUUGUGCAACCCAAUCUUCCAAGGCUUAGUUGUCUUCCAGUUUGGUGAUGAAGGUUGGCAGGAAGAAGGGCUCAUCUUGAAGUCAAGGACUGUGGACAUGUUCAAGUCGCUGCCAUUGGGCAAUGAGAAUCAGACUAUGUUGUCCAAUUUGGAAGUUGAUCCAAGGGGAAUGGAUGCAACUACUUGUUACAAGAACAAUGUGUUACCCAAAGCGAAGCGUAACAGAGUUCUGCGGUGAAGCGCCAAGCAACUGUAGACGAGUAACUCGCUAAUAAACACAAAGUAAACACAUGAAUGAACAUGAAGUAAACCCAGCCACUCCAGUACAUGAGUCCUCGUCAACUUAAUGAUGGAGAGAGCCACGCUUCUUAUACAAAAUUAGACUAUUUGUUACUAACUGGUUGAUAUCUAGUUCUUGGUUCAUACCCGAUGCGAUAGGUAGAGAUCUUAGAUACUGCGGCAUUUCGUCAACACCGUCAACACCUAUGUAGCUUGGUUACGUUUCUUUUUAUCUAGAUACUCCUUUUGGGUUAGCUCACGGAAUUCUAAAAAUUGCUGCGUUGAGGGUUUGAUACUACUUCUGGGUUUUGUACGACUGUGGUUGCGAUGUGAGACAAUGGCGCAGAUCCAAGAAUGAUGUCGCAACACGCCGUUGAAGUGAAGGGUUUUAAAGGCGCUAAGUUCAAGGUCUUUUGGACCAGGGUUGAUGUAGAAAGAGAUAUAUUAAACAAGUUCUAGGAUUACAAUCUGGUUACACUAUAUAUAUUUAUUACAUUCAGUUUUUUCUGAACUUUUCAAAUAAAGCUCUUCCAAAAAGUUUUGUAAAAGUGUCUGCCACCUAUUCCUAUGUACAUAUGUGAGACUUCUCCUAAUUGAAUCUUUUCUAGUAACUAACUUUUCUCUAGUAAAGUGAUAGUGUUCUAUUAUGUGUCUUGUUUUGAGGUUUACUCCUGGAUUUGUAGCUAUCUUGAUACUACCAAUAUUAUUGCAAUGUAUGACUACUAGUAGUUCUAUUUCUACAUUCAAAUCCUUGAGUAGCAUUGUGAACCAUGAAGCUUCUAGUGAUCUAUGAACUAGAGUUCUAUAUUUUGCUUUUGAUGAUAAUAAUGCUACAAUGAAUUGUUUUUUUAAUGACUAUGAAAUAGGCCUAGUUUCAAUGCUAAAUAUGAGCCUAUUAGUGGAUUUAGCUUGUUCUAGGUUGCCAAGGCAAUCCUGAUCCACAUAUUUCAAAAGAUUGAUUUGAUUGUUGUUACAAUAUAGAAUUCUAUAGUCUUAUGUGCUUUUAACAUAGCAUAGUAUUUUCUUUGCAGCAAGUACAUGAAAUUAUUGAAAUCUUGUCAUAAGACAAUUCAUGUUGCAAAUUGUAUAUUAGGUAGAGUAUGAAUUAAAUAGAGAUAUUUUCCUAUACUACUUCAA